AUUGAACGCUGGCGGCAGGCUUAACACAUGCAAGUCGAGCGGAAACGAUGUAGCUUGCUACAGGCGUCGAGCGGCGGACGGGUGAGUAACGCGUAGGAAUCUGCCUAGUAGUGGGGGACAACAUGUGGAAACGCAUGCUAAUACCGCAUACGCCCUACGGGGGAAAGGAGGGGAUCUUCGGACCUUUCGCUAUUAGAUGAGCCUGCGUAAGAUUAGCUAGUUGGUAGGGUAAAGGCCUACCAAGGCGACGAUCUUUAACUGGUCUGAGAGGAUGGCCAGUCACACUGGGACUGAGACACGGCCCAGACUCCUACGGGAGGCAGCAGUGGGGAAUAUUGGACAAUGGGCGCAAGCCUGAUCCAGCCAUGCCGCGUGUGUGAAGAAGGCCUUAGGGUUGUAAAGCACUUUCAGGGGUGAGGAAGGGUGUUUGGUUAAUAUCCAAACAUUUUGACGUUAGCCCCAGAAGAAGCACCGGCUAACUCUGUGCCAGCAGCCGCGGUAAUACAGAGGGUGCAAGCGUUAAUCGGAAUUACUGGGCGUAAAGCGCGCGUAGGUGGUUUGUUAAGUCGGAUGUGAAAUCCCAGGGCUCAACCUUGGAAUGGCACCCGAUACUGGCAGGCUAGAGUAUGGUAGAGGGGUGUGGAAUUUCCUGUGUAGCGGUGAAAUGCGUAGAUAUAGGAAGGAACAUCAGUGGCGAAGGCGACACCCUGGACUAAUACUGACACUGAGGUGCGAAAGCGUGGGGAGCAAACAGG
This 755-nucleotide ribosomal RNA is filed under the name uncultured Marinomonas sp. Its description in RNAcentral is "bacterial SSU rRNA". It matches the Rfam family "Bacterial small subunit ribosomal RNA", at positions 28 to 776 of the family's 1533-position model. Lineage: Bacteria; Pseudomonadati; Pseudomonadota; Gammaproteobacteria; Oceanospirillales; Oceanospirillaceae. The record is from RNAcentral.